RNAcentral lists this ribosomal RNA (293 nucleotides) under uncultured bacterium. RNAcentral describes it as "partial 16S ribosomal RNA". It matches the Rfam family "Bacterial small subunit ribosomal RNA", at positions 505 to 796 of the family's 1533-position model. The record is from RNAcentral.
GUGUCAGCAGCCGCGGUAAUACGGGGGGAGCAAGCGUUGUUCGGAUUUACUGGGCGUAAAGGGCGGGUAGGCGGCCACCGCAAGUCAGUUGUGAAAUCUCCGGGCUUAACCCGGAAAGGUCAACUGAUACUGCGGGGCUAGAGUGCAGAAGGGGCAACUGGAAUUCUCGGUGUAGCGGUGAAAUGCGUAGAUAUCGAGAGGAACACCUGCGGCGAAGGCGGGUUGCUGGGCUGACACUGACGCUGAACUGCGAAAGCUAGGGGAGCGAACGGGAUUAGAUACCCCCGUAGUCC